Molecule: ribosomal RNA, 306 nt
Filed under: uncultured bacterium
Lineage: Bacteria
Description: partial 16S ribosomal RNA
Rfam family: Bacterial small subunit ribosomal RNA
Source: RNAcentral
GACAGCAGCCGCCGCGGGAAUACAGAGGGUGCAAGCGUUAAUCGGAAUUACUGGGCGUAAAGCGCGCGUAGGUGGUUUGUUAAGUUGGAUGUGAAAUCCCCGGGCUCAACCUGGGAACUGCAUUCAAAACUGACUGACUAGAGUAUGGUAGAGGGUGGUGGAAUUUCCUGUGUAGCGGUGAAAUGCGUAGAUAUAGGAAGGAACACCAGUGGCGAAGGCGACCACCUGGACUAAUACUGACACUGGGGUGCGAAAGCGUGGGGAGCAAACAGGAUUAGAUACCCCCGUAGUCCCUGUCUCUUAUAC